GGAGUUAGCCGGUGCUUCUUCUGCGAGUAACGUCACAGAUGUAAGGUAUUAACUUACACCCUUUCCUCCUCGCUGAAAGUGCUUUACAACCCGAAUGCCUUCUUCACACACGCGGCAUGGCUGCAUCAGGGUUUCCCCCAUUGUGCAAUAUUCCCCACUGCUGCCUCCCGUAGGAGUCUGGGCCGUGUCUCAGUCCCAGUGUGGCUGAUCAUCCUCUCAGACCAGCUAGGGAUCGUCGCCUAGGUGAGCCUUUACCUCACCUACUAGCUAAUCCCACCUGGGCUUAUCCAUCAGCGCAAGGCCCGAAGGUCCCCUGCUUUCCCCCGUAGGGCGUAUGCGGUAUUAGCAGUCGUUUCCAACUGUUAUCCCCCACAAAUGGGCAAAUUCCCAGGCAUUACUCACCCGUCCGCCGCUCGUCAUCUUCAAAAGCAAGCUUUUGAAAUGUUACCGCUCGACUUGCAUGUGUUAGGCCUGCCGCCAGCGUUCAAUCUGAGCCAUGAUCAAACUCUGA
Molecule: ribosomal RNA, 511 nt
Filed under: uncultured bacterium
Lineage: Bacteria
Description: partial 16S ribosomal RNA
Source: RNAcentral